CAGCCGCCGCGGUAAUACGUAGGGUGCAAGCGUUAAUCGGAAUUACUGGGCGUAAAGCGUGCGCAGGCGGUUUGUUAAGACAGAUGUGAAAUCCCCGGGCUCAACCUGGGAACUGCAUUUGUGACUGGCAAGCUAGAGUGUGGCAGAGGGGGGUGGAAUUCCGCGUGUAGCAGUGAAAUGCGUAGAUAUGCGGAGGAACACCGAUGGCGAAGGCAGCCCCCUGGGCCAACACUGACGCUCAUGCACGAAAGCGUGGGGAGCAAACAGGAUUAGAGACCCCCGUAGUCCCUGUCUCUUAUAC
RNAcentral lists this ribosomal RNA (301 nucleotides) under uncultured bacterium. RNAcentral's name for it is "partial 16S ribosomal RNA". It matches the Rfam family "Bacterial small subunit ribosomal RNA", at positions 509 to 807 of the family's 1533-position model. The record is from RNAcentral.